GUUUGCUCCUCCAUCCUUUGGAGGUGUUGGGCUUGGCUUAGUUCCGGGAGUGCCAGCCUGGAUCUGGGGCCCCAUCUGACGGGCCCAGGCAUUACCGGUCUAAGGGCGGGGCAGGGGGUGCUCAGGUCAGUGUACACCCUCCCCGGCUCCCUCAGCCCCAGGACAGCCCAGCCUUGGGACGGAGUCUGCUCAGGAUCCAGGUAUGUGACACCACUCUGGGUCAUCUUUCUUUACGCUUUAUCCCUUUCUCGCUUUCUCUCUCUCCUCACUCUCUUCCUGUCUCUUCUUCUCUUCCUCUCCUUCUCUUCUCUCCCUCCCUCUUCUCUCCUCUGUUUCUCUCUCCCUCAAUCUUCUUCAUUCCCUUCCUGCCUCUUGCUGCCUUCCUAUCUCACCUCUUCCUUUCCUUCCUCCAUCUUCUCCCUUCCUUCCUCUCUCCUUAUCUCUAUUUCUCUCUCCUCUCCCUUCCCUUCCUUUAUCUCUCCAUUCCUCCCUUUCUCCUGUCUGUCUCUCCCUUCCCUCAGUCUCUUUUUCUCCCUUUACUCCUCCAUCCCUCUGUAUCUCUUUUACUUCUAUCACUUUCUCUCCUUUCAGUGUCUCUCUCUCUUCCUUCCAUCCUCCAUUCCUCUCUCUCUCCUCUCUCUCUCCCUUUCAUUUUCUCUUUUCUCCUGUUUCAGCCUUUCUAGUCUUUCUUGUCUCUAUUUUCCUUUAUUCCUUCCAUACUUUCACUUUCUCUGUACUUCUCUCACUUUUAAAAUCUUGCUCUUCUCUAUCUGCCCCUCUUUCUCUUUUCCUUCCUUCCUUCCUAUGUCUCUUUCCCCGCCUGUCUUAUUCUUCUCUUUCUCAUCCCUCUCUUCAUCCCUGUUUUCUCUGCAUUCAUUCCCUCGUCCUUCUUUCCUGUUUUCCUAUCUGAUUUCCCUUCUUUUUCUUUCUCCUCUCUCCUGCCCUCUCUUUAUCUCUGGCACUCUUCCUUUCUCCUCCUUCUCUCCCUCCCUUCUCCAUUCCUCCCUA
Long non-coding RNA from Bos indicus x Bos taurus (hybrid cattle), 1008 nucleotides. The record is from Ensembl. NCBI's taxonomy places the organism in Eukaryota, Metazoa, Chordata, Mammalia, Artiodactyla, Bovidae.